This 253-nucleotide ribosomal RNA is filed under the name uncultured prokaryote. Its description in RNAcentral is "partial 16S ribosomal RNA". It matches the Rfam family "Bacterial small subunit ribosomal RNA", at positions 524 to 776 of the family's 1533-position model. The record is from RNAcentral.
UACGAAGGGGGCUAGCGUUGCUCGGAAUCACUGGGCGUAAAGCGCACGUAGGCGGCUUUUUAAGUCAGGGGUGAAAUCCUGGAGCUCAACUCCAGAACUGCCUUUGAUACUGAGAAGCUUGAGUCCGGGAGAGGUGAGUGGAACUGCGAGUGUAGAGGUGAAAUUCGUAGAUAUCCGUAGGAACAUCCGAGGCGAAGGCGGCUCGCUGGAUCACAACUGACGCUGAGGGACGAAAGCUAGGGGAGCAAACAGG